CGUGCAGGCGGCUCGCUAAGUCUGAUGUGAAAGCCCCGGGCUCAACCCGGGAAGUGCAUUGGAAACUGGCGAACUUGAGUAUGGGAGAGGGAAGUGGAAUUCCGAGUGUAGGGGUGAAAUCCGUAGAUAUUCGGAGGAACACCAGUGGCGAAGGCGGCUUCCUGGACCAAUACUGACGCUGAGACGCGAAAGCGUGGGGAGCAAACA
RNAcentral lists this ribosomal RNA (207 nucleotides) under uncultured delta proteobacterium. RNAcentral describes it as "partial 16S ribosomal RNA". It matches the Rfam family "Bacterial small subunit ribosomal RNA", at positions 568 to 774 of the family's 1533-position model. The record is from RNAcentral. Lineage: Bacteria; Deltaproteobacteria.